Molecule: long non-coding RNA, 2772 nt
Organism: Triticum dicoccoides
Lineage: Eukaryota; Viridiplantae; Streptophyta; Magnoliopsida; Poales; Poaceae
Exons: 4
Source: RefSeq, a predicted model, not a curated record
GUCCUCUUCCUCUCCCCCCGUUCCCUUAACCAACCCCGCCACCGCCGACGACCUCCUCUCCCCAAACCCAAACCCCAAGCACCAACGCCGGCGCCCUCCACCCCACCAGCAGCCGCUGCCAUGCACAGCACCGUUAGCUCUCUCGGCACCCGAAACCCUAGCUCCGGCCGGGCGUGCCGCGGCAUGGAAGAGCGCCGCGGAUCCGCCUCCUCGCCGUGGCCCCAACCUCCCCUUCUUCGGGCGCGGCGCAGGGGAGGGAGGGCUCCCUCCCUCUUGCCGACCGUCGAUGCGGUUCUUCUUCACGCAUUCAGGCAGUGAAGAGACCUACGCCAUGGAGGAUUCGAUUUGGCAGACCCUCCCUCUUGCGGACCGUCGAUACGCUGCAGAUGUGCGUGGAGAAGAAGGCCCUAGCAUUGGGGGAUGACCGGCCAUGCCAAGCUCCUCUUCAUUGGAGUUGGAGUUGGAUUUGGUCACCACCAAUUUGCUCCUAGCAUGCCCUCCUCUCUUUUGCAGCAACAGCAGCAUGGAUUCGGUACAGCAGAGGACAAGAAGGUCUUCAUGCCAGGCUCUAGGGCUGGGCGAGAGAACUUCUACUCUCGGUCGUGGUUUUAGUUUCCAUUCUAGCUCUCAGGUCAAGGCUGCAUCACGUAAGAACUGGUUCUGGUUGCUUCAUGCUAUAAAAAUGGGGCAGGGGGGCGACCCCCUUUCAUUCAAAAGAAGAGAAGGGCUUCAUUUCAUUCUCUUCCGUUGUUGGUUGUGCAACAGAGGCGGCUACGAAAUCGCCAUGGUGCAUGAGCUAAUCCAGUAUCUCACCAGGGUGCCCUCUCUCUCUCUCUCUCUCUCUAGGAGAAAGAGUUUUGGUCUUUUUGCUCCUACUCUAGCUAGCUGCAUAUAUACACAGUGUCGUUGUACCACGUGUGCACGCCCAUCGUAAUUACCUGAUGCAUCUAUGAUUGAUCUGCAUAGUGGCAAAUGAGCACCACUACUGUUACUAUUAGUAAGCACCUCUUUUGGUGACCGGCCAUGUUUAGUUUUCUCUAUGCAAACUACUGCACAUGUGUUGGCAUCUAUUAGUUUUAAUUUCCUGACUGUUCUGAAACCACUCCAAAAUGGAACAAGGAUCCAUCUCAACCUUGUUUCAGAGUACUUGUGUGAUUUAAUGAUACUUGUUGUUUUAGAUAUCUCCUACUUGCUCGGGUGAAAUACUUGUUGUUUUAGAUAAGCAUGGUGCUCCUCUGUUUUGAUAUGUAGCGCUCUAGUAAUUUAAAUGAUUCAAAUUCCUAAAGCAACAACGCAUUACCUUCGUUUGGAAAUAAGGGGCAUGAUUUUAGUUGAAAUUGGAACUGAAACCACGACAAUUAUUUCCGAACGGACGGAGUACUUGUUUUCUACACAACAACUAUGCAUUCAACGAUCUGACCUAUAUUAUAUACAUGUUGAGGUAGAAAAGUGGGUAUAUAUACUUGCUUCUAUUCUGCUCUGGGCAACUAAAUUAACUGGGGAACAUGAAAGGCACACAUCAACUGAUGAUACCAGAAUAAUUGAUUGGCUGCUACACAGGCCAGAUUCUUGCUCUGCUGCUAGUUAAACACUUAAACUACAGCAGGUCAGGGCUAGCCAUGAGUGUGUGCGUGCAUGUUUUUGCCCCUAAAGGAUUUUAACCUCGGAUGAAAUUCCAUGGUUCGAUGGUCCCUGUGUAGUUUCUGAUGCAGAUCGUACAUCCAUCAAAACACACAAUUCAAACUGAACUUUGAUUUCUUUUGCUUGGUUCCACUAAGAUGCGUUAUUGCAAGCUAUUCAUUAUUUUUCAGUUUUGAGCUUGAGAAGAGUACUUAUUCACUAUAUUGUAGCUAUAACAGUUUUCAGCGUUCCAUCUUUCUAGUCUCCUAUGUUGAACAGAGACAUACAAUUUGCAGUGUUAAAUCAAUAUAUGAUCUCUUUUUCUAUGUCCCCACGAAUACCCAAUACAAGUAAAGCAAUUUGUUCCGAUCAAUCAACAGUGAGUGAAUCGGGAUGUUGAUUAAUGUGGGGGAUUCACUUGCUGCUCAAUGUGAACUUGCGUAAUUAGUGAUGUCACUAUGAGUUCCUCGCUCUGACCGAUCUGUUACGUAUUUCAGUCAUUGUUGGUAGCUAGUCUCAGUUAUGAUGUUCCUUUGUUUUGUAGAAGAUGGACCAAUCACGGAUAGAGUAACAAGUAGCUGCGGGUUGCCCAAUAUGCCUCCAAACCGUACGCUCGUGUAGCAUUGGUAGAAGCAAAUUGACAAAUUGGCUAGCAAAAUCGCAGCCUGGAGCUAGCUUGGUGGUAAAUCUGAAGCCCGUCCCCACACGGCGUCGCUCAAACUUGAAUUUUUUUUUCAGUUCUGAGCUAUGAGAAGAUUACUUACUUCCAAUUUUUGAGCUAUAACAGUUUUCAGUCAGUGUUGCAAGUUUCUACUCUGCUAUACUGAAUAUAAUAUAGACACAUUUUUCAGUGCUCCAUCAGUUCUGUGAUUUUCUAUUUUUAUGUGCCGACCACUACCUAAUACAAGUAAAUUGAUUUGUUCUGAUCAUUAUACAGUGAAUCAAGAUGGUGAUCAAUGUCGAGGAUUUACUUCUUGCUCAACUAUUUACAAGUGAAACUUGGCUAACCAGUGGUGGAACUAUCAACAUCCCGAGGACUAAGAAAGUAACCGUGGUGGUUCGCCCAAUAUGAAAUUUUGUAUCUCUGAAAGUAGAGAUUUUUUACAGUACAUCAUACUACCGAAUUUAAGGGGUAGUAUUAACCAGAUCCAA